GACACCGUUUGUGGACGAAUUCGCUGAAGCCGUUCCUGGAAAAUCGCGCACGAAUAAUUUUAUUACACAGUGUUUGUCAGACUGAUAUAAGUAUGAAAGUACGUCUACCCACGUACAUGUAUUUCUCCCUCGUACCGAAACAAUGAAUCAAUAGCAAGUAAAAUCACGCAGACACCGUAUAUUAAAACUGGAAUUGGACAAUGGGCUCGAACCACGUUGGGCAGGCGGAAAAACACAAAGGACCGUUGAACUUUGUCCUGUUAAUCAUUCUGAAUUAGUGAUAUCGGGCGAUGCGCCGGUGAAUCCUGGUUCGCGAAAUUUAUUUUUUAACUAUAUUAUAUGAUAUGUGUAGACCUGGAUGUAUUUGCUGUACGUUUCCAGACGCAUUUUACAACCCUGAGGUUUGAAAGAGAGUGGUUGAACGGAAGAGCAAUGAAUUGUGUAAAAUACAGGUCUGCCUAAUCCUUAUUCAGAACGAACAAUAAAGGAUAAUCUGAUUACUCGGGAGAUUAGAAUCAAUCUGAGCGGAGAUACGAACAAGUUAACCGGUAUUAUAAAUUCGAAAGUUCCGAAGUAAUUACUUAAGAUCGUAAUUGCUUGAAAUAACAUCUUUGUAAAUCACUCACUUCAGACUCCGCAACGGUUCGGUAAAUUACAGGUAAUGAUGUACAU
Long non-coding RNA from Diprion similis, 672 nucleotides. RefSeq lists it as uncharacterized. NCBI's taxonomy places the organism in Eukaryota, Metazoa, Arthropoda, Insecta, Hymenoptera, Diprionidae. The transcript has 3 exons. The record is from RefSeq and is a predicted model, not a curated record.